UUCCGGUUGAUCCUGCCGGAGGUCAUUGCUAUUGGGGUCCGAUUUAGCCAUGCUAGUUGCGCGACUUAGAUCGCAGCGGAAAGCUCAGUAACACGUGGCCAAACUACCCUGCAGAGGAGCAUAAUCUCGGGAAACUGAGGCUAAUACUCCAUACCGCACUCACGUUGGAAUACCGAGUGCCCAAAACGCUUCGGCGCUGCAGGAUGUGGCUGCGGCCGAUUAGGUAGACGGUGGGGUAACGGCCCACCGUGCCGAUAAUCGGUACGGGUUGUGAGAGCAAGAGCCCGGAGACGGAAUCUGAGACAAGAUUCCGGGCCCUACGGGGCGCAGCAGGCGCGAAACCUUUACACUGCACGACAGUGCGAUAAA
RNAcentral lists this ribosomal RNA (369 nucleotides) under uncultured Halobacteria archaeon. RNAcentral describes it as "bacterial SSU rRNA". It matches the Rfam family "Archaeal small subunit ribosomal RNA", at positions 1 to 374 of the family's 1478-position model. The record is from RNAcentral. Lineage: Archaea; Methanobacteriati; Methanobacteriota; Halobacteria.